Small nuclear RNA from Vulpes vulpes (red fox), 107 nucleotides. The record is from Ensembl. NCBI's taxonomy places the organism in Eukaryota, Metazoa, Chordata, Mammalia, Carnivora, Canidae.
GUGCUUUCUUCAGCAGCACAUAGAUUAAAACUAGAAUAAUGCAGAGAAGAUUAACGUGGACCCUGUGCAAGGAUGACACACAAAUUUGGGAAGUGUUCAAUAUUUAA